Molecule: ribosomal RNA, 1415 nt
Filed under: Psychrobacter luti
Lineage: Bacteria; Pseudomonadati; Pseudomonadota; Gammaproteobacteria; Moraxellales; Moraxellaceae
Description: bacterial SSU rRNA
Rfam family: Bacterial small subunit ribosomal RNA
Source: RNAcentral
ACACAUGCAAGUCGAGCGGAAACGAUGAUAGCUUGCUAUCAGGCGUCGAGCGGCGGACGGGUGAGUAAUACUUAGGAAUCUACCUAGUAGUGGGGGAUAGCACGGGGAAACUCGUAUUAAUACCGCAUACGACCUACGGGAGAAAGGGGGCAGUUUACUGCUCUCGCUAUUAGAUGAGCCUAAGUCGGAUUAGCUAGAUGGUGGGGUAAAGGCCUACCAUGGCGACGAUCUGUAGCUGGUCUGAGAGGAUGAUCAGCCACACCGGGACUGAGACACGGCCCGGACUCCUACGGGAGGCAGCAGUGGGGAAUAUUGGACAAUGGGGGAAACCCUGAUCCAGCCAUGCCGCGUGUGUGAAGAAGGCCUUUUGGUUGUAAAGCACUUUAAGCAGUGAAGAAGACUCCGUGGUUAAUACCCACGGACGAUGACAUUAGCUGCAGAAUAAGCACCGGCUAACUCUGUGCCAGCAGCCGCGGUAAUACAGAGGGUGCAAGCGUUAAUCGGAAUUACUGGGCGUAAAGGGAGCGUAGGUGGCUCGAUAAGUCAGAUGUGAAAUCCCCGGGCUCAACCUGGGAACUGCAUCUGAUACUGUUGAGCUAGAGUAUGUGAGAGGAAGGUAGAAUUCCAGGUGUAGCGGUGAAAUGCGUAGAGAUCUGGAGGAAUACCGAUGGCGAAGGCAGCCUUCUGGCAUAAUACUGACACUGAGGCUCGAAAGCGUGGGUAGCAAACAGGAUUAGAUACCCUGGUAGUCCACGCCGUAAACGAUGUCUACUAGUCGUUGGGUCCCUUGAGGACUUAGUGACGCAGCUAACGCAAUAAGUAGACCGCCUGGGGAGUACGGCCGCAAGGUUAAAACUCAAAUGAAUUGACGGGGGCCCGCACAAGCGGUGGAGCAUGUGGUUUAAUUCGAUGCAACGCGAAGAACCUUACCUGGUCUUGACAUAUCUAGAAUCCUGCAGAGAUGCGGGAGUGCCUUCGGGAAUUAGAAUACAGGUGCUGCAUGGCUGUCGUCAGCUCGUGUCGUGAGAUGUUGGGUUAAGUCCCGCAACGAGCGCAACCCUUGUCCUUAGUUACCAGCGGGUUAAGCCGGGAACUCUAAGGAUACUGCCAGUGACAAACUGGAGGAAGGCGGGGACGACGUCAAGUCAUCAUGGCCCUUACGACCAGGGCUACACACGUGCUACAAUGGUAGGUACAGAGGGCAGCUACACAGCGAUGUGAUGCGAAUCUCAAAAAGCCUAUCGUAGUCCAGAUUGGAGUCUGCAACUCGACUCCAUGAAGUAGGAAUCGCUAGUAAUCGCGGAUCAGAAUGCCGCGGUGAAUACGUUCCCGGGCCUUGUACACACCGCCCGUCACACCAUGGGAGUUGAUUGCACCAGAAGUGGAUAGCUUAACCUUCGGGGAGGCGUUCACCA